This 184-nucleotide long non-coding RNA is filed under the name Dermacentor andersoni. RNAcentral describes it as "uncharacterized LOC126518765". The record is from RNAcentral. Lineage: Eukaryota; Metazoa; Arthropoda; Arachnida; Ixodida; Ixodidae.
AUCAUGCAGACUACUCAGUACCGCAAGAUGCACCUGCCAUGUCCGAGGCUGCAGACUGCUCAACAUUGAAUGCACCACAAGAGGAGGCCUGUGCUAUCUUUGACACUGCUUCAGUACCUUCAGGGGCGUUGAAAAGAAAGCUUUCAGACGCUGAUGUUCCUGUGACAGACUUGUUUUCUACACC